CUCGCAAGAGUGAACUAGCUAACUGAAAUCCUUGGUGUGCCAUCGAGGAUAACGUAAGGGAAAAGAUCAUAACCACGGGAGCCGGCCCCUCCUCUUUAGAUCGAAAGGUUUAGAGGGUAGAGGUUGGUGUGGUCUAUGAGGUGAUAUUACCUUACUAUUAGUGUCGUCCAAGUGCUCGUGCCAGAAGACUCGGUAAGGCGAGAGACGCAAACGUUAUUCGUCUUGAACAGGCGUAAAGGGUAAGUAGGCGGCUUUAAGUAUCUAAUUUUAAGUUUUACUGUUUUAAUGCUAAAUUAUAUACCUACUCUAGAAGUUAGGAUAGGUUUUCUUUUCAAUGAUAAAGAUUAACUCCACUCCACUCCCAAACACUCCUUCUCCUUUUUAAAGGGGAGACAGAUGUAAAGGGUUGUGGUAUGGCUGUGAAAAUAACCUAUUAAUUUAGUAUUUUAAUAUUUAUUAAAGGAUCAAUUAAAGCUAGAAUCUAAAAGAGGUUAAAACAAUACUUAAGGUAGGUGUACCAACCAUAAAUAAUAAGCAGAGUAUUAAGGGCGAAGGCAUUUAUCCACUGAAGAUUGACGCUGAGGAACGAAGGUGAGGACAGAAAAAAGGAUUAGAGACCCUUGUAUCCCUCACUGUCAACGAUGAAUGGUAGUUACUAGAUAGAAAUAAUCUAGAGGCGAUGUUAACACGAAAACCAUUCCGCCUUGUGAGUACGACUGCAAAGUUGAAAACAAAAAAAUUAGUCGGUUUCGGAGCAAACGAAGUGAAGCAU
RNAcentral lists this ribosomal RNA (772 nucleotides) under Coniferiporia weirii. RNAcentral describes it as "partial small subunit ribosomal RNA". It matches the Rfam family "Bacterial small subunit ribosomal RNA", at positions 374 to 942 of the family's 1533-position model. The record is from RNAcentral. Lineage: Eukaryota; Fungi; Basidiomycota; Agaricomycetes; Hymenochaetales; Hymenochaetaceae.